UACGGGGGGGGCAAGCGUUGUUCGGAAUUACUGGGCGUAAAGGGCUCGUAGGCGGCCAACUAAGUCAGACGUGAAAUCCCUCGGCUUAACCGGGGAACUGCAUCUGAUACUGGAUGGCUUGAGUUCGGGAGAGGGAUGCGGAAUUCCAGGUGUAGCGGUGAAAUGCGUAGAUAUUCGGAAGAACACCAGUGGCGAAGGCGACAUACUGGUCCAUUACUGACGCUGAGGCUCGAAAGCGUGGGGAGCAAACAGG
RNAcentral lists this ribosomal RNA (253 nucleotides) under uncultured bacterium. RNAcentral describes it as "partial 16S ribosomal RNA". It matches the Rfam family "Bacterial small subunit ribosomal RNA", at positions 524 to 776 of the family's 1533-position model. The record is from RNAcentral.